RNAcentral lists this ribosomal RNA (253 nucleotides) under uncultured bacterium. RNAcentral's name for it is "partial 16S ribosomal RNA". It matches the Rfam family "Bacterial small subunit ribosomal RNA", at positions 524 to 776 of the family's 1533-position model. The record is from RNAcentral.
UACAGAGGGUGCGAGCGUUAAUCGGAAUUACUGGGCGUAAAGGGCGCGUAGGCGGCCCGCUAAGUCGAACGUGAAAUCCCCGAGCUCAACUCGGGAACUGCGUCCGAUACUGGCGGGCUUGAAUCCGGGAGAGGGAUGCGGAAUUCCAGGUGUAGCGGUGAAAUGCGUAGAUAUCUGGAGGAACACCGGUGGCGAAGGCGGCAUCCUGGACCGGUAUUGACGCUGAGGCGCGAAAGCUAGGGGAGCAAACGGG